This 253-nucleotide ribosomal RNA is filed under the name uncultured bacterium. RNAcentral describes it as "partial 16S ribosomal RNA". It matches the Rfam family "Bacterial small subunit ribosomal RNA", at positions 524 to 776 of the family's 1533-position model. The record is from RNAcentral.
UACGUAGGGUGCGAGCGUUGUCCGGAAUUAUUGGGCGUAAAGAGCUCGUAGGCGGUCUGUCGCGUCUGCUGUGAAAACCUGGGGCUUAACCCCGGGCCUGCAGUGGGUACGGGCAGACUAGAGUGUGGUAGGGGAGACUGGAAUUCCUGGUGUAGCGGUGAAAUGCGUAGAUAUCAGGAGGAACACCAGUGGCGAAGGCGGCUUUCUGGACGGUAACUGACGCUGAGACGCGAAAGCGUGGGGAGCAAACAGG